GGGUUGUGAGGUUAAGCGACUAAGCGUACACGGUGGAUGCCCUGGCAGUCAGAGGCGAUGAAGGGCGUAAAUCUGCGAUAAGCGCCGGUAAGGUGAUAUGAACCGUUAUAACCGGCGAUACCCGAAUGGGGAAACCCAGUGUGAUUCGUCACACUAUCAUUAACUGAAUCCAUAGGUUAAUGAGGCGAACCGGGGGAACUGAAACAUCUAAGUACCCCGAGGAAAAGAAAUCAACCGAGAUUCCCCCAGUAGCGGCGAGCGAACGGGGAGGAGCCCAGAGCCUGAAUCAGCAUGUGUGUUAGUGGAAGCGUCUGGAAAGGCGCGCGAUACAGGGUGACAGCCCCGUACACAAAAGCGCAUGUGCUGUGAGCUCGAUGAGUAGGGCGGGACACGUGGUAUCCUGUCUGAAUAUGGGGGGACCAUCCUCCAAGGCUAAAUACUCCUGACUGACCGAUAGUGAACCAGUACCGUGAGGGAAAGGCGAAAAGAACCCCGGCGAGGGGAGUGAAAAAGAACCUGAAACCGUGUACGUACAAGCAGUGGGAGCACUGUGACUGCGUACCUUUUGUAUAAUGGGUCAGCGACUUAUAUUCUGUAGCAAGGUUAACCGAAUAGGGGAGCCGGAGGGAAACCGAGUCUUAAUUGGGCGUUAAGUUGCAGGGUAUAGACCCGAAACCCGGUGAUCUAGCCAUGGGCAGGUUGAAGGUUGGGUAACACUAACUGGAGGACCGAACCGACUAAUGUUGAAAAAUUAGCGGAUGACCUGUGGCUGGGGGUGAAAGGCCAAUCAAACCGGGAGAUAGCUGGUUCUCCCCGAAAGCUAUUUAGGUAGCGCCUCGUGAAUUCAUCUCCGGGGGUAGAGCACUGUUUCGGCUAGGGGGCCAUCCCGGCUUACCAACCCGAUGCAAACUGCGAAUACCGGAGAAUGUUAUCACGGGAGACACACGGCGGGUGCUAACGUCCGUCGUGAAGAGGGAAACAACCCAGACCGCCAGCUAAGGUCCCAAAGUCAUGGUUAAGUGGGAAACGAUGUGGGAAGGCCCAGACAGCCAGGAUGUUGGCUUAGAAGCAGCCAUCAUUUAAAGAAAGCGUAAUAGCUCACUGGUCGAGUCGGCCUGCGCGGAAGAUGUAACGGGGCUAAACCAUGCACCGAAGCUGCGGCAGCGACACUGUGUGUUGUUGGGUAGGGGAGCGUUCUGUAAGCCUGUGCUGGAGGUAUCAGAAGUGCGAAUGCUGACAUAAGUAACGAUAAAGCGGGUGAAAAGCCCGCUCGCCGGAAGACCAAGGGUUCCUGUCCAACGUUAAUCGGGGCAGGGUGAGUCGACCCCUAAGGCGAGGCCGAAAGGCGUAGUCGAUGGGAAACGGGUUAAUAUUCCCGUACUUGGUGUUACUGCGAAGGGGGGACGGAGAAGGCUAUGUUGGCCGGGCGACGGUUGUCCCGGUUUAAGCGUGUAGGUGUGUGUUCCAGGUAAAUCCGGUUCACUUUAACACUGAGGCGUGACGACGAGGCACUACGGUGCUGAAGCAACAAAUGCCCUGCUUCCAGGAAAAGCCUCUAAGCAUCAGGUAACAUCAAAUCGUACCCCAAACCGACACAGGUGGUCAGGUAGAGAAUACCAAGGCGCUUGAGAGAACUCGGGUGAAGGAACUAGGCAAAAUGGUGCCGUAACUUCGGGAGAAGGCACGCUGACACGUAGGUGAAGUGAUUUACUCAUGGAGCUGAAGUCAGUCGAAGAUACCAGCUGGCUGCAACUGUUUAUUAAAAACACAGCACUGUGCAAACACGAAAGUGGACGUAUACGGUGUGACGCCUGCCCGGUGCCGGAAGGUUAAUUGAUGGGGUCAGCGCAAGCGAAGCUCCUGAUCGAAGCCCCGGUAAACGGCGGCCGUAACUAUAACGGUCCUAAGGUAGCGAAAUUCCUUGUCGGGUAAGUUCCGACCUGCACGAAUGGCGUAAUGAUGGCCAGGCUGUCUCCACCCGAGACUCAGUGAAAUUGAACUCGCUGUGAAGAUGCAGUGUACCCGCGGCAAGACGGAAAGACCCCGUGAACCUUUACUAUAGCUUGACACUGAACAUUGAGCCUUGAUGUGUAGGAUAGGUGGGAGGCUUUGAAGUGUGGACGCCAGUCUGCAUGGAGCCGACCUUGAAAUACCACCCUUUAAUGUUUGAUGUUCUAACGUGGACCCGUUACCCGGGUUGCGGACAGUGUCUGGUGGGUAGUUUGACUGGGGCGGUCUCCUCCUAAAGAGUAACGGAGGAGCACGAAGGUUGGCUAAUCCUGGUCGGACAUCAGGAGGUUAGUGCAAUGGCAUAAGCCAGCUUGACUGCGAGCGUGACGGCGCGAGCAGGUGCGAAAGCAGGUCAUAGUGAUCCGGUGGUUCUGAAUGGAAGGGCCAUCGCUCAACGGAUAAAAGGUACUCCGGGGAUAACAGGCUGAUACCGCCCAAGAGUUCAUAUCGACGGCGGUGUUUGGCACCUCGAUGUCGGCUCAUCACAUCCUGGGGCUGAAGUAGGUCCCAAGGGUAUGGCUGUUCGCCAUUUAAAGUGGUACGCGAGCUGGGUUUAGAACGUCGUGAGACAGUUCGGUCCCUAUCUGCCGUGGGCGCUGGAGAACUGAGGGGGGCUGCUCCUAGUACGAGAGGACCGGAGUGGACGCAUCACUGGUGUUCGGGUUGUCAUGCCAAUGGCACUGCCCGGUAGCUAAAUGCGGAAGAGAUAAGUGCUGAAAGCAUCUAAGCACGAAACUUGCCCCGAGAUGAGUUCUCCCUGAGACUUUAGGUCUCCUGAAGGAACGUUGAAGACGACGACGUUGAUAGGCCGGGUGUGUAAGCGCAGCGAUGCGUUGAGCUAACCGGUACUAAUGAACCGUGAGGCUUAACCUUACAACGCCGAAG
Molecule: ribosomal RNA, 2895 nt
Filed under: Salmonella enterica subsp. enterica serovar Enteritidis
Lineage: Bacteria; Pseudomonadati; Pseudomonadota; Gammaproteobacteria; Enterobacterales; Enterobacteriaceae
Description: bacterial LSU rRNA
Rfam family: Bacterial large subunit ribosomal RNA
Source: RNAcentral